ACCUGUCCUUCCCUGGACCGUGGCCCUCCAGGCAGUCCCAUGCAGGUGCCGGCUGAAAGCGGCUGGGGUAGAAACCAAGGACCAGGCUGGAAGAAACAGGGCCCCCAGGUGUUUCCAAAGGGGAGCUUGUUGGCUCAGCAGGCUUUUCAAAAUGCAGGUAUCUCUAGAGCUGUUUUGUGGACACCAGGAGCAUCACUGGACAAUCCCUGUGCUGGCCCCAGAGUAUCCUGUGCACCUGGAUGAGGCUGGAACACAUCGGGGGCAGGGCCGCAACACGUCCACUCCAGAACAGCGUGGGACCUGGGGAAAUUGCCAGUCAUUUGCUGUCCCAUCAUUGCUGUUCCACGCAUCCCUGACAACUCUGAGCAUGGGUUGUGGUGAGGUAGCAGCUGGGCAGGACCAGAAAUGUCCAUUUUUGACAUGGAGGCAGCAGACACCCAGGCUUGGGGUAGAAGUGAGGGCUCCAUACCAUUCCCAGUGACAGCUUCCCAUGGUGGAAACAGGCAGGAAUGUCUGGCAACCCACCAAGGGUCAGACGCCACGUCAGUCCGAGCAGAAGCUGCCUGACCCUGGCUGUUCCAAUGACAAUGAGACAUUCUUGGGGAGGUGGAGCCCUCUGUGGGAGCUCAGAAUGGGUGUCCUCUCGCAAUCACUGUGUUAGAGCUGCGGUUCUCAAUGCGGGCUGCAGUGCAGUUACCUGCGGAGCUUUAGGGCGCUCCCAGGGCUUGGCUCCCCGGACCAGGGCCUUGAGAACCUUCACAGCAGGGGUAGCCGGUGUUGAGAAGCGUGCCUGGGAGACC
Molecule: long non-coding RNA, 800 nt
Filed under: Homo sapiens (human)
Lineage: Eukaryota; Metazoa; Chordata; Mammalia; Primates; Hominidae
Description: non-protein coding lnc-DAP-5:1
Source: RNAcentral